CACGGGGAGGUAGUGACGAAAAAUAACGAUACGGGACUCAUCCGAGGCCCCGUAAUCGGAAUGAGUACACUCUAAAUCCUUUUGCAAGGACCCAUUGGAGGGCAAGUCUGGUGCCAGCAGCCGCGGUAAUUCCAGCUCCAAUAGCGUAUAUUAAAGUUGUUGCGGUUAAAAAGCUCGUAGUCGAAUCUGUGUCCCGCGCCGCUGGUUCAUCGCUCGCGGUGUUCAACUGGCGUGUCUCGCGGGACGUCCUGCCGGUGGGCUUUCGAAUUGACUUCUUCGGUGGUCGUUCGUGGCCCAACUCGUAUCCGCUUUGCGCGGGUGCGAAUCCCAUCGCGGUGCUCUUUAUUGAGUGUCGAGGUGGGCCGGCACGUUUACUUUGAACAAAUUAGAGUGCUUAAAGCAGGCCAAUUUUGCCUGAAUAUUCUGUGCAUGGAAUAAUGGAAUAGGACCUCGGUUCUAUUUUGUUGGUUUUCGGAACCCCGAGGUAAUGAUUAAUAGGAACGGAUGGGGGCAUUCGUAUUGCGACGUUAGAGGUGAAAUUCUUGGAUCGUCGCAAGACGGACAGAAGCGAAAGCAUUUGCCAAAAACGCUUUCAUUGAUCAAGAACGAAAGUUAGAGGUUCGAAGGCGAUCAGAUACCGCCCUAGUUCUAACCAUAAACGAUGCCAGCUAGCGAUCCGCCGACGUUCCUCCGAUGACUCGGCGGGCAGCUUCCGGGAAACCAAAGCUUUUGGGUUCCGGGGGAAGUAUGGUUGCAAAGCUGAAACUUAAAGGAAUUGACGGAAGGGCACCACCAGGAGUGGAGCCUGCGGCUUAAUUUGACUCAACACGGGUAACCUUACCAGGCCC
Molecule: ribosomal RNA, 848 nt
Filed under: Oxypoda longipes
Lineage: Eukaryota; Metazoa; Arthropoda; Insecta; Coleoptera; Staphylinidae
Description: SSU rRNA
Rfam family: Eukaryotic small subunit ribosomal RNA
Source: RNAcentral